RNAcentral lists this ribosomal RNA (443 nucleotides) under uncultured bacterium. RNAcentral's name for it is "partial 16S ribosomal RNA". It matches the Rfam family "Bacterial small subunit ribosomal RNA", at positions 338 to 795 of the family's 1533-position model. The record is from RNAcentral.
CCUACGGGAGGCAGCAGUGGGGAAUAUUGGACAAUGGGGGGAACCCUGAUCCAGCGACGCCGCGUGAGUGAAGAAGUAUUUCGGUAUGUAAAGCUCUAUCAGCAGGGAAGAAAGAAAUGACGGUACCUGACUAAGAAGCCCCGGCUAACUACGUGCCAGCAGCCGCGGUAAUACGUAGGGGGCAAGCGUUAUCCGGAUGUACUGGGUGUAAAGGGAGCGUAGACGGCGAUGCAAGUCUGAAGUGAAAGGCGGGGGCCCAACCUCCGGACUGCGUUGGAAACUGUAUGGCUGGAGUGCAGGAGAGGUAAGUGGAAUUCCUAGUGUAGCGGUGAAAUGCGUAGAGAUUAGGAGGAACACCAGUGGCGAAGGCGGCUUACUGGACUGUAACUGACGUUGAGGCUCGAAAGCGUGGGGAGCAAACAGGAUUAGAUACCCUUGUAGUC